Molecule: long non-coding RNA, 1301 nt
Filed under: Olea europaea subsp. europaea
Lineage: Eukaryota; Viridiplantae; Streptophyta; Magnoliopsida; Lamiales; Oleaceae
Source: RNAcentral
UCUUGUUCUUUCUUAACUAGAUUAUCUACUUUAAAAACUAUCAAACAAAAACAAAAAUCAAUGCAUCACAUAGUUUGCCAUCUUGCCUCAUGUUUUGAAACUACUCGAAUAAUUAAAAAAAAAUGCUUCUAAAUCAUGUUACUAUAAUUAUUUUUUUAUUAUCCAAUGACCGAUGUGGGUGUGCAUAGUCAAUUCAAUCAUUACAAUCGUUAGGUUGGUUAUAUCUUGAUCCUCAAUAGUCAAUUAUUUCCUUUAUAUCUCGUAGGAUACACAUCCCCAAACUUGUUAUCAAUCUCUCACCUCGGGUGUUUAUAAUAAGGUUGCACUCAUUAUUUUCAAGCUUAAAUUUGGUUAGGUUUAAUGAAUGGAAGAAACUAUCUCGACAUGUGAUGAUUCUCCUUGUACUUAAUUGUUGAUAAGCAUGAUUUUCACUCCCAUUCAAGGCUCUCAAAGUGAAUAUUUGGAAGUCAAAUUAAUGAGAUUGCUACUUAAUUUGGUUAAUAUCGAUUGUUGUAGGUAUAUUCAGGUUUGGAUGUCUUUUGAUGAAAAGAAGUGAAACUUGGCUAGAAAGGGCAAAAAAAGAUGAAUUCAAAGUUUGGGGACUAAAUUACAAAUAUCUAAAAGUUGAUUCGGACCAAGAUAUGAUGCUUGAAGAUCACAUAGAACAUAUUAGAUAAAAUUAGAAGACAAGAUAUGAAUACUGGUCGAAGAAAUGAUUUAUGUUGAACAAUUGAGCAAAAUCGAGGAACAAAGUGAACACUUUCAAAGUUAUAGGUGUGUGAUUGCACCUCCUAUACGGUUGCGAUCCCAACCUUUCAAGAAUCAGCAAAAGAACAUGGCAUAAUAUGCAUGUGCAACUGCAGUAUGCCUGCCUGAUCGUCUAAAUAUAAUUCGGCCACAUGGGAUAUUUUCCUUUUUUAAUGAAAAGUCUCUAUGGAAACCAUCUUAGACGCCAAUUUUAGCCACUAUAAGUACAGAAUAUCAUCCAACAUUUGAAGACACCUCUCAUAUCAUACAAUACAUUAAUUCUUGUGAACCAAGGGAGGCCAAUUGUCAUUAUUUUGGGAGAAAUCAAGAGGCAAGAUACAAGAAAUUAAUCAUUUGAAGAUUAAAUCUUGGUUUCGGGUAAAGUAGAAGGAACAGUUGGAGAAUAACCAAGAAUGAUUGAAAAGAUUCAAGAUUUCAUGGCUUCUCCUCUCUUUCUUCACAUAUCUCAAAUCCAAGUGAUAUAUUAUAAACCAAACAUGAUAUUUUGUAACUUUGUAAUUCUAUAAUAUAUUUUAGUCGCUAUGAUAUAGAUG